AAACAACCGGUCGUUGUACUG
RNAcentral lists this microRNA (21 nucleotides) under Singapore grouper iridovirus. RNAcentral describes it as "miRNA-5". The record is from RNAcentral. Lineage: Varidnaviria; Bamfordvirae; Nucleocytoviricota; Megaviricetes; Pimascovirales; Iridoviridae.